UGGGGUAAUGGCCCACCAAGGCGACGACGGGUAGCCGGCCUGAGAGGGUGACCGGCCACACUGGGACUGAGACACGGCCCAGACUCCUACGGGAGGCAGCAGUGGGGAAUAUUGCACAAUGGGCGAAAGCCUGAUGCAGCGACGCCGCGUGAGGGACGAAGGCCUUCGGGUUGUAAACCUCUUUCAGCAGGGAAGAAGCGAAAGUGACGGUACCUGCAGAAGAAGCGCCGGCUAACUACGUGCCAGCAGCCGCGGUAAUACGUAGGGCGCAAGCGUUAUCCGGAAUUAUUGGGCGUAAAGAGCUCGUAGGCGGUUUGUCGCGUCUGCUGUGAAAGCCCGGGGCUCAACCCCGGGUCUGCAGUGGGUACGGGCAGACUAGAGUGCAGUAGGGGAGACUGGAAUUCCUGGUGUAGCGGUGAAAUGCGCAGAUAUCAGGAGGAACACCGAUGGCGAAGGCAGGUCUCUGGGCUGUAACUGACGCUGAGGAGCGAAAGCAUGGGGAGCGAACAGGAUUAGAUACCCUGGUAGUCCAUGCCGUAAACGUUGGGCACUAGGUGUGGGGGACAUUCCACGUUUUCCGCGCCGUAGCUAACGCAUUAAGUGCCCCGCCUGGGGAGUACGGCCGCAAGGCUAAAACUCAAAGGAAUUGACGGGGGCCCGCACAAGCGGCGGAGCAUGCGGAUUAAUUCGAUGCAACGCGAAGAACCUUACCAAGGCUUGACAUGAACCGGAAAGGCCUGGAAACAGGUCCCCCACUUGUGGCCGGUUUACAGGUGGUGCAUGGUUGUCGUCAGCUCGUGUCGUGAGAUGUUGGGUUAAGUCCCGCAACGAGCGCAACCCUCGUUCUAUGUUGCCAGCGGGUUAUGCCGGGGACUCAUAGGAGACUGCCGGGGUCAACUCGGAGGAAGGUGGGGACGACGUCAAAUCAUCAUGCCCCUUAUGUCUUGGGCUUCACGCAUGCUACAAUGGCCGGUACAAAGGGUUGCGAUACUGUGAGGUGGAGCUAAUCCCAAAAAGCCGGUCUCAGUUCGGAUUGAGGUCUGCAACUCGACCUCAUGAAGUUGGAGUCGCUAGUAAUCGCAGAUCAGCAACGCUGCGGUGA
Molecule: ribosomal RNA, 1102 nt
Filed under: uncultured bacterium
Lineage: Bacteria
Description: bacterial SSU rRNA
Rfam family: Bacterial small subunit ribosomal RNA
Source: RNAcentral